GAAAUUCUCCAGCCUGACCAGGUGGUGAGUUGCGGUGUUGUCUACCGUAGAGGAUUUCUCUCGUGCCUUGUUACGGGUUUGAAGGGCGAGCCUAUCUUCGGAGGGUAAAUUGUAACUUUCGCCAAACAGGACUAUG
This is a regulatory RNA element of 136 nucleotides. It matches the Rfam family "Tombusvirus 5' UTR". Rfam says of the family: These domains are combined into a single family here. The record is from Rfam.